CUACAAAUGAAUUGACGGGGACCCGCACAAGCAGCGGAGCGUGUGGUUUAAUUCGUUGCUACACGAAGAACCUUACCUGGGUUUGACAUAUAGGUUGUAGGGAACUGAAAGGGACCGACCCUUCGGGGAGCCUAUACAGGUGUUGCAUGGCUGUCGUCAGCUCGUGUCGUGAGAUGUUCGGUUAAGUCCGCUAACGAGCGCAACCCUCGUCGUAUGUUAUAUGUGUCAUACGAGACUGCCGGUAAAAAGCCGGAGGAAGGUGAGGAUGAUGUCAAGUCAGCAUGACCUUUAUAUCCAGGGCUACACACACGCUACAAUGGUCUGUACAAUGGGUAGCCAAGCCGCGAGGCGGAGCCAAUCCUGAAAGCAGGCCUCAGUUCAGAUUGCAGUCUGCAACUCGACUGCAUGAAGCCGGAGUUGCUAGUAAUCGCGAAUCAGCAUGUCGCGGUGAAUACGUUCCCGGGCCUU
Molecule: ribosomal RNA, 468 nt
Filed under: uncultured Anaerolineaceae bacterium
Lineage: Bacteria; Bacillati; Chloroflexota; Anaerolineae; Anaerolineales; Anaerolineaceae
Description: bacterial SSU rRNA
Rfam family: Bacterial small subunit ribosomal RNA
Source: RNAcentral